Molecule: non-coding RNA, 219 nt
Organism: Vicia faba (fava bean)
Lineage: Eukaryota; Viridiplantae; Streptophyta; Magnoliopsida; Fabales; Fabaceae
Source: the annotation of a GenBank genome assembly
AUGCUUCUUCCGCGACCCCGUACCAUAAUUCAGUCAAACCGCCCACGACAUCCACCCCAUCACAGUCCGAAACAACUGACGCGAAGCACCAUAUGUUCCAUCGCCCAACACCGCGCCUCAAUCUCAACCACAAAGAUCAACCGUCAUCGUACCUCCGCCGCUCCUACCGCACACUUACCUUGGUGUGUUGUUAUAUUGUUUUUUGUUUUGUUUUUUUAG